Molecule: ribosomal RNA, 497 nt
Filed under: uncultured bacterium
Lineage: Bacteria
Description: partial 16S ribosomal RNA
Rfam family: Bacterial small subunit ribosomal RNA
Source: RNAcentral
GACGAACGCUGGCGGCGUGCCUAAUACAUGCAAGUUGAGCGAUGAAGCUUGGUGCUUGCACCAAUUUGAAGAGCAGCGAACGGGUGAGUAACGCGUGGGGAAUCUGCCUUUGAGCGGGGGACAACAUUUGGAGACGAAUGCUAAUACCGCAUAACAACUUUAAACAUAAGUUUUAAGUUUGAAAGAUGCAAUUGCAUCACUCAAAGAUGAUCCCGCGUUGUAUUAGCUAGUUGGUGAGGUAAAGGCUCACCAAGGCGAUGAUACAUAGCCGACCUGAGAGGGUGAUCGGCCACAUUGGGACUGAGACACGGCCCAAACUCCUACGGGAGGCAGCAGUAGGGAAUCUUCGGCAAUGGACGAAAGUCUGACCGAGCAACGCCGCGUGAGUGAAGAAGGUUUUCGGAUCGUAAAACUCUGUUGGUAGAGAAGAACGUUGGUGAGAGUGGAAAGCUCAUCAAGUGACGGUAACUACCCAGAAAGGGACGGCUAACUACGUG